GACGAACGCUGGCGGCGUGCUUAACACAUGCAAGUCGAACGGAAAGGCCCUGCUUUUGUGGGGUGUUCGAGUGGCGAACGGGUGAGUAACACGUGAGUAGCCUGCCCUUGACUUUGGGAUAACUUCAGGAAACUGGGGCUAAUACCGGAUAGGAGCUCCUGCUGCAUGGUGGGGGUUGGAAAGUUUCGGCGGUUGGGGAUGGACUCGCGGCUUAUCAGCUUGUUGGUGGGGUAGUGGCUUACCAAGGCUUUGACGGGUAGCCGGCCUGAGAGGGUGACCGGCCACAUUGGGACUGAGAUACGGCCCAGACUCCUACGGGAGGCAGCAGUGGGGAAUAUUGCACAAUGGGCGGAAGCCUGAUGCAGCAACGCCGCGUGCGGGAUGACGGCCUUCGGGUUGUAAACCGCUUUCGCCUGUGACGAAGCGUGAGUGACGGUAAUGGGUAAAGAAGCACCGGCUAACUACGUG
This 468-nucleotide ribosomal RNA is filed under the name uncultured bacterium. Its description in RNAcentral is "partial 16S ribosomal RNA". It matches the Rfam family "Bacterial small subunit ribosomal RNA", at positions 28 to 507 of the family's 1533-position model. The record is from RNAcentral.